Molecule: ribosomal RNA, 206 nt
Filed under: uncultured bacterium
Lineage: Bacteria
Description: partial 16S ribosomal RNA
Rfam family: Bacterial small subunit ribosomal RNA
Source: RNAcentral
AGCGCAGACGGUUGACUAAGUCUGAUGUGAAAGCCCGGAGCUCAACUCCGGAAUGGCAUUGGAAACUGGUUAACUUGAGUGUUGUAGAGGUAAGUGGAACUCCAUGUGUAGCGGUGGAAUGCGUAGAUAUAUGGAAGAACACCAGUGGCGAAGGCGGCUUACUGGACAACAACUGACGUUGAGGCUCGAAAGUGUGGUAGCAAACA